CUACGGGCUGCUGCAGUCGAGAAUCUUCGGCAAUGGACGCAAGUCCGACCGAGCGACGCCGCGUGCGGGAUGAAGGCCUUCGGGUUGUAAACCGCUGUCAGUUAGGAGGAAAUCUAUAGGGGUUAUCCCCUAUAGUUGACCUAUUUUCAGAGGAAGUGCGGGCUAAGUUCGUGCCAGCAGCCGCGGUAAGACGAACCGCACAAACGUUAUUCGGAAUCACUGGGCUUAAAGGGUGCGUAGGCGGCCUUUCAAGUCAGGUGUGAAAUCCCACAGCUCAACUGUGGAAUUGCGCUUGAUACUGGGAGGCUUGAGUAAGAUAGAGGUGAGCGGAACUUAAGGUGGAGCGGUGGAAUGUGUUGAUAUCUUAAGGAACACCAGUUGCGAAAGCGGCUCACUGGGUCUUAACUGACGCUGAGGCACGAAAGCUAGGGGAGCGAACAGGAUUAGAUACCCGAGUAGUC
RNAcentral lists this ribosomal RNA (461 nucleotides) under uncultured bacterium. RNAcentral's name for it is "partial 16S ribosomal RNA". It matches the Rfam family "Bacterial small subunit ribosomal RNA", at positions 339 to 795 of the family's 1533-position model. The record is from RNAcentral.